GGGGAAUCUUGGACAAUGGGCGCAAGCCUGAUCCAGCCAUGCCGCGUGCAGGAUGAAGGCCUUCGGGUUGUAAACUGCUUUUGUACGGAACGAACAGGUGCCUUCUAAUAAAGGGCGCUCAUGACGGUACCGUAAGAAUAAGCACCGGCUAACUACGUGCCAGCAGCCGCGGUAAUACGUAGGGUGCGCGCGUUAAUCGGAAUUACUGGGUGUAAAGGGUCUGUAGGCGGCCCUUCAAGUCGCGUGUCAAAGUCCAGUGCUCAACGCUGGGUGCGCGCGCGAUACUGACGGGCUUGAGGGCUGGAGAGGUGAGCGGAAUUCCCGGUGUAGUGGUAAAAUACGUAGAGAUCGGGAGGAACACCAGCGGCGCAGGCGGCUCACUAGACAGUUUCUGACGCUAAGAUACGAAAGCGUGGGGAGCAAACA
Molecule: ribosomal RNA, 426 nt
Filed under: uncultured bacterium
Lineage: Bacteria
Description: bacterial SSU rRNA
Rfam family: Bacterial small subunit ribosomal RNA
Source: RNAcentral